GGACUACCGGGGUUUCUAAUCCUGUUUGCUCCCCACGCUUUCGCGCUUGAGUGUCAGGGACAGGCCAAGAAGCUGCCUUCGCCAUCGGUGUUCCUCUUGAGAUCUACGCAUUUUACCGCUACUCCAAGAAUUCCACUUCUCUCUCCUGCCCUCUAGCCCUACAGUUUUGACUGCCUGCUCACGGUUAAGCCGUGAAAUUUAACAAUCAACUUAUAGAGCCACCUACACGCUCUUUACGCCCAGUAAUUCCGAAUAACGCUUGCCCCCUUCGUCUUACCGCGGCUGCUGGCAC
Molecule: ribosomal RNA, 292 nt
Filed under: uncultured bacterium
Lineage: Bacteria
Description: partial 16S ribosomal RNA
Source: RNAcentral